RNAcentral lists this long non-coding RNA (1849 nucleotides) under Cinara cedri. Lineage: Eukaryota; Metazoa; Arthropoda; Insecta; Hemiptera; Aphididae. The record is from RNAcentral.
GUGGACGAUAGCCUGUUUUUAUAAAUAAAUAAUUAAUGAUUAUUUCAUAUAAAUAUUUAAAAACAAAGGAGAAAAAGAAGAAUAACCUAUUUUAGGUAAGUGAUAUUUUCGGCGGUAGACUGCUUUCCGCAGCCUCGACGUGGGCUGAGCACGCGACCAAGAUCGCCAAAUGUCGUAACUCGCUGAUCAGAGCGCAGAGAGCCACAGCUCUUAGGGUUACCCCCGCGUACCGCACCGGCUCAACAUCGUGUACAGGGUUAGAUUAAGCCAGCAUAAUAUCAGGAAGUGACGCGGUCCUACCUCUCACCUUAGUUUUAAUUAGUAUAGUCAAUAAUGUGAACCUACUCCGUGAAGGGGAAAACAGGAUUUUACAAAGCAUUACUUAAUUAUAAUCAUUAAUAAACAAUAGCAUUAAUAAGGUAGCAAUGUGAAAAACUGAUUUCCCACUGCUGUCAGUUAACCAGAAAAAAGAAAAAAGGUAAGUGAUAUUAAUCUAAAAAUCAGAUGUUUAUGACUAAAAAUUCAUAACAAUAGGUAUUUAAAAAUGUAGAAAUAUAAAAAAUUAGGCGGGACAUGUGUGGAGGUCAGAGGAAAUUAUUGGAUCAAUAACUAAAUGGAAACCCGACAUUAAAAGGCCUCGAGGACGCCCCAGACAAAGAUGGAAUACGAUAUAAUACGGGAAGACUUAGGACUUCUGAACGUAAGAAACGCAGAAGAAUGUGCAAAUGAUAGAGAGGGAUGGAAACAAUACAAAUGUUGUUGCGGCGAUGGGCCUUAAAGGCCUGUAAAAGCCCAGAAGAAGAAGAAAUAUGCAAAAAUAUUCUUAUUUUGCAACAAAUAUAUGCAUAAAACGAAUUAAUUAUUUUAUUAAAAAAAUACAAAGAAAUAAUAAUUAAUAAAAAAUUAAACACCUUCCUUCACUUUAUGCAUUAUUAAAACAGUUAGUUCGAAUAAUAUAAUCAAAAACGAUAAGACAUUUCGCAAAUGUUGCAUAUUUUGAAUAGCUUUAUCUAGAAGCAUAGACGCAUUUUCUAAUGAAAUAUCAGUACUUUGUAAUACUUUAGAUAUAGUAUUCAGAUAUCAAAUGAAAAUGUUAUCGUAUCUGUGCCCGUUUAUUCUAAAACCAUCUUAAUAAUAUACAUUUUGGUAGGUACUACUAUAAUUCCAUACUACUAAUAUUUUAUUAUUAUCUAUUUAAUACUUAUGCCUACAAUAAAUUUAAUUGAAAAGCAACUACAUAAAAUCGAAAAAUAUUCGUGGCAUGAGCUACAAAGAAGUCAAAAAUAUUUAAAACAGAUAAUUUUCAAUUUUAAUUUUUGUUUUUUGGGGGCCCCUUAGAACUAGAAGCUCGUGUGCAUUGCACACCUUGCAAACCCAAUUGUUGCAGCACUGAGUUUAAAGUUAAUUAUUCUUCUAUAUUGUGCCAAAAAAUGUUAAACAAAUACUCUUGUGUAUUACUUUCAAUGCAAAAGGUCGUAUGUCCAAUCUCAUCCGAAAUGGAUGUUGUGUCAUUUUUUUAUUGUUAGUCUAUUAUCCUUUGUUCAUACAAGUUUUUUAAGCUCCAAAACCUAUUAUAUCAUAUUUAAUUUUCAAUUAAAAAAUUGAAUGUAGUGGCAAAACAGUGUAAGUCCAUUGGUACUUGCAUACCAAAAAGUAGUAUAUCCUGGGUAAAAUAAUAAAGCUGCAAAACUAGGUAAAUCCGUAUGCAAUGGCAUUGACUAACUGUACGAACAAUAACAAUAGUUAGUAAGGUAGGUACUCUGUUUAUCGAUUCUAUUAUUAUUCUUGAAGUUAUUACCGAGUUUUACUAGGUUCUUGGUUUAAUAUUAGGUAUAUAGAAAUCAUGUUG